Long non-coding RNA from Oreochromis niloticus (Nile tilapia), 2231 nucleotides. The record is from Ensembl. Lineage: Eukaryota; Metazoa; Chordata; Actinopteri; Cichliformes; Cichlidae.
AUGAUCACAGUAACAGACUCAGUCACAGUGAACUGUCAGACUCCAUCAUCUGUUUCUGUGACUCAGUGUUUUUUGUACUUUAUGAGAAGAAGAAAAUCCACAUCCAUCUCCUGUCAGCAGACACUGACAGCAACUGAGCUCCUCUUUAUGGCACAGCAGAGUUCACCUGCUGAGGUUCAAGUGGCAUGUUUUUACAUGACAGAGCAUAAAGGAGGACAAUACCAGUCUCCUCACAGCAACAUAUCCUUCAUUAGUGUACAGUACCUAACUACUUUGAGGACUUUCACCACAUCUACUCCUAUUUCUACGAGCGUACAAAGAAGAAACAGAAUUAGAGGUACGAUUUUUAAAACUGAAUAAAAAAGUUGAUUGUGGUUUUUUUAAUGUUUGAUUAAGUAAAUUUUUUAGGCACUAAAGAAAUUAUUUCUCCUGGGAUCCCACUGGCGGCAGCCUCCCCUUGUCCUUCUGUUCCUGGGAUAACUCUCACAGAUGUGACCAAUCCUACUGCUGCUGACACGACUGGAAUAACAGGUAGACCUAAUUUUACUAUUUUUAUUCAUGGACGAAUAUAAAUAUAUAUAUAUUUUUUAAAAAUAAACACGUUUUUGUGUGGUCUAAAUCACUAAAAGCCAAAUUAAACAAGUCCUCAUUGAGGAUGAGCCACCUGUGUCACAUCGCCAUAGUAAGGUUCACAGAAUUUUUACCCUGUUAACUGAUUUUACCUAAAAUGUGAAAUGACCUCCUCUUUUAAAGCAGCAAAAAUGAUAUGGAUAAUCGGAGCAGUUGUGGCAGUGGUGUCCUGCUUGCACUGCCUCUUCUCCUUGUGCAAAAAAGCACUGGUAAGAAAAGAAAAAUCCCUAAUUGCAGUACAUUUCUUUUAAAUUCAAAUUCAUUUUAUAUGACGUUUUCUUGCAAUAAAACACAUUAUCUAUGAUUUCUUGAGGAUUGUUUAAUGUUUUGUUUUGUUUUGUUUUUUCUAGUGAAAUGUGGUUCCAAGAUGUAAGUAAUGUUAACUCCAGCUGGUCUACCAGUAGUACCAGUCUACGCCUUAUGUUCUUUCUGGCCACCACAGCCCUCUUUUCUCAAAUGAACUCAAACAGAACUUUUGUGAUGGUGCGUACUGACCUGACCACUAAGGUUGACCAAGUUUAACCUGGAACAACCUCGGUGCAAAAAAUGUGUAGCCUCUGGCAAAUAUAGCAUUUUUAAAUAUUUUAAUUUUGGGACAUUUUGGGUCACUUGAAAAAGGAUGGAUCAAAUUUGACCUGAAUAGUAUGUGAAUGUCAAAGGAAAAUUCAUGUUUUUGUUUUUUGCAAAAUAGUGCACACUUCUUUGAACAAGGUCGGCCUAUUAUGUGUUUAAUUCAGGAAAACAUUUUUCAAAUGAUAUGUGGAAAAUUAUACUCCCUCGGUCUGAUGACUUUGAUUUCUACCACAGACACGAUGAGUGCAACAUGACAAAUAGAACCAAAAUAACUGGUUACUGAAAAUUGCCCACUUUGAAAUAAACAGUAAGGUGCUUUAGAGGUUUCUGUAAACAAAUUAGCCCAUCAGUACCUAAGCUUAUGUUUUCAGUUCCAUAACAAAGACAUUUUUGGAGAACAUAAAUUAGAAAUGUGUGCUUUUUUCUCUGGAAAGAAGACACUUUUUACAAAACCAGCAGGAUGGCUAUAGUGCCACCUACAGUACUGUCAUAUAUGAGUGCAAUACUGGUCAUCUGCUUCUUUAUUUUACAAAUUCUGCUGAAAAUAAAAUUGUUAACAUUUGUGUAUUCUUUUAUUUUGGAAAAAUGUAUUUUGAAAUAUUCAGCAUUUCAAGUUAUAUAUUUUGCAAAAUGAUAAAAAACAAACACUGUAACUAAAAGCAAUUUGCCUAUCUGCUUCUGGUAAUACAAUGUAUCAUCUCUGAGUUAUUUUGGAUUAUUGUCAUUAUUUGUUUUUUGUUUUUAUGGGGUGGGUGUGUGUGGGGGGGUGGGGGUGGGGGGUGGGGGGUAAAGAGGAAAGUAAUUUUAUUUUUAAAGGAUUUUUAGGUCAUCAUGCAUAAGUACCACUCUACACCUUCCUUACCAUCAUCACUGUCAAUCACAGCUGCUCACAAUAAACAGUCCUUUUUCUGAGUCGCUCACAUUAAAGGAAAAUUACAGUUUUAAAAAACAGAAAUAAGACCAGUGUACUUUACAUCCCCUUUGUACAGAAUAAACCUAUUUUAGUAUUUCAGGUCAAAUCCUUGAAA